This 253-nucleotide ribosomal RNA is filed under the name uncultured bacterium. RNAcentral's name for it is "partial 16S ribosomal RNA". It matches the Rfam family "Bacterial small subunit ribosomal RNA", at positions 524 to 776 of the family's 1533-position model. The record is from RNAcentral.
UACAGAGGGGGCAAGCGUUGUUCGGAAUUACUGGGCGUAAAGCGCGUGUAGGCGGCAGCGUGUGUCGGGCGUGAAAUCCCACGGCUUAACCGUGGAAGUGCACCCGAAACUGCGCAGCUAGAGUCCUGGAGAGGAAGAUGGAAUACUUGGUGUAGAGGUGAAAUUCGUAGAUAUCAAGUGGAACACCGGUGGCGAAGGCGGUCUUCUGGACAGUGACUGACGCUGAGACGCGAAAGCGUGGGGAGCAAACAGG